RNAcentral lists this ribosomal RNA (280 nucleotides) under Prevotellamassilia timonensis. RNAcentral's name for it is "partial 16S ribosomal RNA". It matches the Rfam family "Bacterial small subunit ribosomal RNA", at positions 498 to 776 of the family's 1533-position model. Lineage: Bacteria; Pseudomonadati; Bacteroidota; Bacteroidia; Bacteroidales; Prevotellaceae. The record is from RNAcentral.
UAUGUUUGUGUGCAGCCGCCGCGGUAAUACGGAAGGUCCGGGCGUUAUCCGGAUUUAUUGGGUUUAAAGGGAGCGCAGGCGGACCUUUAAGUCAGCUGUGAAAUACGGCGGCUCAACCGUCGAACUGCAGUUGAUACUGGAGGUCUUGAGUGCACACAGGGAUGCUGGAAUUCAUGGUGUAGCGGUGAAAUGCUCAGAUAUCAUGAAGAACUCCGAUCGCGAAGGCAGGCAUCCGGGGUGCAACUGACGCUGAGGCUCGAAAGUGCGGGUAUCAAACAGG